UGAGGCUGUAUAUGAUGUACUGGGUGAA
Molecule: non-coding RNA, 28 nt
Filed under: Homo sapiens (human)
Lineage: Eukaryota; Metazoa; Chordata; Mammalia; Primates; Hominidae
Source: RNAcentral